Molecule: long non-coding RNA, 729 nt
Filed under: Pan paniscus (pygmy chimpanzee)
Lineage: Eukaryota; Metazoa; Chordata; Mammalia; Primates; Hominidae
Description: lncRNA (ENSPPAG00000045441.1)
Source: RNAcentral
AUAUAAUACAAACUACUGUUAGAAAACGAAUGCAAACCUGUUUGUGAAAAUUUACUGCCCUCAAAGUGACUGUAUAUAUUUUGACCAUGGCAACUGAUGUCUGUGAUUUUUUUCCCUCCACGGCUUUUAAACAGUUAACAUCACCUGCUGCUGUUUGUGAUGAAACCCCACAGGAAAUGAAUGCCAAAGGAACAAGGAUAGGAAGAAAAUAUGAUAACAGAAGCUCAUCAGCAGACUAUUCAUGAUAAGAAGAUAUCAUUUGGCUGAAAGAAUGAAGAGAAAAAUAGAUGGACUCUAUGGUUUAGGUGACUGCAAAUGGAAUACCUUUCACCUCUAAUUGACUGACUGAAAUGGAGGCAGUCUCCAUAGAGACUGAAAUUCUUCCCUGAGAGAUGGCAGUUAGGUAGAGAGACUGCAGAUGGAGGGUUGCAUCUCCAUUCCUAAGAGAGGGGAAGUAUGACUUUAGGACUAGAUUCACUGGUUUCCAUAGCUGAUCUGAGCUGUUAUCAGUCCCCCGUAUUUUAAAAUAUAGUGCUUCUGAAAGAAUGGUGAUUUAAAGAAAUAUAACUAAUUAUGGUAAGACAUUAAGAAAUGGGGAAGUGUUUGAGUCAAUCUUGUGCUUAAACUACUGCUGAAGCUAUUAAGCUUCAUGUUUUCUGUAUGACUAUGCUCUGAAAUCCUGUAAUUAUAUUGUCAUAAAUAAAUGUUAUGAUUGAAAGAAUCAAGUAC